AGCAGCCGCGGUAAUUCCAGCUCCAAUAGCGUAUAUUAAAGUUGUUGCAGUUAAAAAGCUCGUAGUUGAAUUUCGGGAUCAGUAUGUUGGUCGUGCUUCGGUACGUACUGUCAUUACUGGUUUCUACCUUCUGAAGAACCUUGAUGUCAUUAAUUUGGUGUCUUGGGGAAUCAGGACUGUUACUUUGAAAAAAUUAGAGUGUUUAAAGCAAGCAUACGCUUGAAUACAUUAGCAUGGAAUAAUGAAAUAGGACGUUUGAUUCUAUUUUGUUGGUUUCUAGGAUCGACGUAAUGAUUAAUAGGGAUAGUUGGGGGCAUUAGUAUUCAAUUGUCAGAGGUGAAAUUCUUGGAUUUAUUGAAGACUAACUACUGCGAAAGCAUUUGCCAAGGAUGUUUUCAUUAAUCAAGAACGAAAGUUAGGGGAUCGAAGACGAUCAGAUACCGUCGUAGUCUUAACCAUAAACUAUGCCGACUAGGGAUCGGAUGAUGUUAUUUUUAAUGACUCAUUCGGCGCCUUAAC
RNAcentral lists this ribosomal RNA (519 nucleotides) under uncultured Glomus. Its description in RNAcentral is "SSU rRNA". It matches the Rfam family "Eukaryotic small subunit ribosomal RNA", at positions 569 to 1092 of the family's 1831-position model. Lineage: Eukaryota; Fungi; Glomeromycota; Glomeromycetes; Glomerales; Glomeraceae. The record is from RNAcentral.